RNAcentral lists this ribosomal RNA (1381 nucleotides) under uncultured bacterium. RNAcentral's name for it is "16S ribosomal RNA". It matches the Rfam family "Bacterial small subunit ribosomal RNA". The record is from RNAcentral.
UUCGCCCUUAGAGUUUGAUCCUGGCUCAGGACGAACGCUGGCGGCGCGCCUAACACAUGCAAGUCGAACGAGAGAGAGGGAGCUUGCUUCCUCAAUCGAGUGGCGAACGGGUGAGUAACGCGUGAGGAACCUGCCUCAAAGAGGGGGACAACAGUUGGAAACGACUGCUAAUACCGCAUAAGCCCACGACCCGGCAUCGGGAAGAGGGAAAAGGAGCAAUCCGCUUUGAGAUGGCCUCGCGUUCGAUUAGCUAGUUGGUGAGGUAACGGCCCACCAAGGCAACGAUCGGUAGCCGGACUGAGAGGUUGAACGGCCACAUUGGGACUGAGACACGGCCCAGACUCCUACGGGAGGCAGCAGUGGGGAAUAUUGCACAAUGGGGGAAACCCUGAUGCAGCGACGCCGCGUGGAGGAAGAAGGUCUUCGGAUUGUAAACUCCUGUUGUUGAGGAAGAUAAUGACGGUACUCAACAAGGAAGUGACGGCUAACUACGUGCCAGCAGCCGCGGUAAAACGUAGGUCACAAGCGUUGUCCGGAAUUACUGGGUGUAAAGGGAGCGCAGGCGGGAAGACAAGUUGGAAGUGAAAUCCAUGGGCUCAACCCAUGAACUGCUUUCAAAACUGUUUUUCUUGAGUAGUGCAGAGGUAGGCGGAAUUCCCGGUGUAGCGGUGGAAUGCGUAGAUAUCGGGAGGAACACCAGUGGCGAAGGCGGCCUACUGGGCACCAACUGACGCUGAGGCUCGAAAGUGUGGGUAGCAAACAGGAUUAGAUACCCUGGUAGUCCACACUGUAAACGAUGAUUAUUAGGGGGUGGAAGGAUUGACCCUUUCAGUGCCGCAGUUAACACAAUAAGUAAUCCACCUGGGGAGUACGACCGCAAGGUUGAAACUCAAAGGAAUUGACGGGGGGCCCGCACAAGCAGUGGAGUAUGUGGUUUAAUUCGACGCAACGCGAAGAACCUUACCAAGUCUUGACAUCCUGCGACGCACAUAGAAAUAUGUGUUUCCUUCGGGACGCAGAGACAGGUGGUGCAUGGUUGUCGUCAGCUCGUGUCGUGAGAUGUUGGGUUAAGUCCCGCAACGAGCGCAACCCUUAUGGUCAGUUACUACGCAAGAGGACUCUGGCCAGACUGCCGUUGACAAAACGGAGGAAGGUGGGGAUGACGUCAAAUCAUCAUGCCCUUUAUGACUUGGGCUACACACGUACUACAAUGGCGUUAAACAAAGAGAAGCAAGACCGCGAGGUGGAGCAAAACUCAGAAACAACGUCCCAGUUCGGACUGCAGGCUGCAACUCGCCUGCACGAAGUCGGAAUUGCUAGUAAUCGCAGAUCAGCAUGCUGCGGUGAAUACGUUCCCGGGCCUUGUACACACCGCCCGUCA